Molecule: long non-coding RNA, 637 nt
Filed under: Cinara cedri
Lineage: Eukaryota; Metazoa; Arthropoda; Insecta; Hemiptera; Aphididae
Source: RNAcentral
CUUUAUAUACCUACGAAUUUAAAGGUCGAAUUCGAUUGAAAAUCGUUGAAAUCAUUGAACCAGUGCUAUACCAUACGGCAGUUGAGUACUUGAGUAUAGUCCAGACGAUAGUUGUGUGUUUGCUUUUGGUAGCGAUGAUGAUCAAAUAGCAAUUUGGGACUUGGCUGUUGAAAGAGAUAUUCAUGGUCAUGAUGACAUAAAAGUAGGUAUACAUUAAUUUUUUUACAUUCGCUCAAAAUGAAUACCUUAAAUUUUAAAAAAUUGUGUACUAUAACAUUACCGUAGAGUAAAUUUUUCGUUACAAAUGGAGUUCUCAAUAAAUGAAACAAAUGAAAAAACUGAUAAUUGAUGGGAUUAAGUUUCGAACCCUAACGAUUCUUACAAAUGAUAUACGACGUAUAUUAUACGAAUAAUACAAUUUUAAAAUUAAAAAAUACGUCCAAGGAUAAUGGAAACUGGCGCAGCCACUGUUUUAGGUAAUUUAAAGUAAGUAUACCUGUAUACCUGUAAGCAACGAUAAACCAUUUACUUACGAAAAAAUGGUUCUGUGCAGAGUAGUUUCUAGUGAUGCUUUGUCAUAUUUAAGUUAAGUGGGUUCUAUAUAUUUUAUUUAAUAAUAAUUAUUUAAUGUCCGGAU